UUUAUUCUGUGAGGUAAAGUCCGGGCUCCUCCGGAAAAAAUGCCGGGUAAUAACCGGGCAGUUUUAGAAGUUCAUUCUAAGGCUGACAGAAAGUGCUACAGAAAAUUACCGCCUGUUUACAGGUAAGGGUGAAAAGGCAGGGUAAGAGCCUACCUCAGCUGCUGGCAACAGUGGCUGGCAGUAAACCUCAUUUGGAGCAAAAUCAGACAGCAGUUCGGUUUUCCGGCCUUAUGCUGCGGGUAGAUUGCUGGAAGCAUUUGGCAACAAAUGCUGCGGAUAGAUGACCAUACAUUUAGAAAUAAAUGUAACAGAACCCGGCUUACCGUA
RNAcentral lists this RNase P RNA (327 nucleotides) under uncultured Treponema sp. Its description in RNAcentral is "Bacterial RNase P class A". It matches the Rfam family "Bacterial RNase P class A", at positions 32 to 354 of the family's 367-position model. From Rfam's summary of the family: Ribonuclease P (RNase P) is a ubiquitous endoribonuclease, found in archaea, bacteria and eukarya as well as chloroplasts and mitochondria. Its best characterised activity is the generation of mature 5'-ends of tRNAs by cleaving the 5'-leader elements of precursor-tRNAs. Lineage: Bacteria; Pseudomonadati; Spirochaetota; Spirochaetia; Treponematales; Treponemataceae. The record is from RNAcentral.